Long non-coding RNA from Lycium ferocissimum, 768 nucleotides. RefSeq lists it as uncharacterized. The transcript is spliced from 4 exons. Lineage: Eukaryota; Viridiplantae; Streptophyta; Magnoliopsida; Solanales; Solanaceae. The record is from RefSeq and is a predicted model, not a curated record.
UCCAUAUUGCUUUUAGGGCAAAAAAUUGACUUCCCUCCCUAAAAUUUCCCCUCAUCAAUUCAGAAAGGCAACGCUGGAGAUUUUUCUCCUCCCUAACCCCUCGACCAAUUAGAUUCAAUUCUUUCGGUGACGGUCUCAGGUAGGGUUUUCGACAUCUUCUCACCCUUCUGUGACAUUGUUCGUGUGCGUGUGAAACCCUAAAUAUUCUAGAGCAGGAUCAAAGUCAUGGAAGUUCCAAGAGAACUGAUUGGACCGAGUAACUCGAUCCAGAAGAAAAUGCAAUUGAGAAGGAUGAAAUUUCAGGAGAUGUAAUGGAGCCGAAGAUUGUGACGGAGUUACCCAAACCCUAAGGUCAUCUCAGAGCCAGAAAAACUAUACAGGGCAACCCCCUGAUUACAUACUAAAGGACGCAGAAAACACCAACAAGCUAAGUUAUUCAAGUUUGCUUGGGAGCAUUAAUCCUAUGAGCAGAUCUAGAGUUUAUCAUGCUUUAAGCGGUAAUAAGAUAUCAAGUGAAAAUACGGGUGAUCCAAUUUGAAAUGCUGGCCACAAGUCAAUUCGAUCUAUUGAAGUGAACGUUAAAGACUUUUUGAACUAUUGUGAUGUUUGAAUUUACAUUUGGUUUUGUGGAAUUCAUUGCUAGUGUAUAUUUUCAAACAUUAUUUUAUUAUUAUUUGCAGUACCAGACAUAUAUUGGUUUUUCGAAGUGUACUGCAAAUCUAUACAUUUGAAUGAUUGUAUUUGAGUUAUUUAUUAGUUAAUUUUGUG